This is a non-coding RNA of Podarcis lilfordi (Lilford's wall lizard), 8605 nucleotides long. NCBI's taxonomy places the organism in Eukaryota, Metazoa, Chordata, Lepidosauria, Squamata, Lacertidae. The record is from the annotation of a GenBank genome assembly.
CAGUGGCAAAGAAUGCAGGAAUUACAUGGCAGACCAAAACAGAGCCAGAGUGGUGAAUCAGGGCUAAGCUCCGCCACAGAAUUCAAGGAGCUUUCUGUGUACUUGGCUUAGAACACAAUACUACACCCUAAAGGUAGGGAAGGUUGUGUUUUACAUACAGUAUGCUUAAAGGCAAUAUUUACGGUCGUGGCGCCUCUGGGUGCAAGUGUACACACAGAGAUUUCUCUGGCACCCACAGGGUUCCCUCCCUCUGUAGAAAGAAGCAUCUGUUGUGGCCAAUAAAAGAGGUUGUGGUGGGGAUUUGGUUGUGAUGUGUCUAUGGUGCCUACAAAAGCUUUUCCAGUUUGCAAAUGUGCCCACAGCACCCCAGCCUUAAGGAGUCAGCAUUCAAUCCUCUGGUUUUAACCUCAAGGGCCCACUGUGGUUUGAUGAGUUGGCCUGCCUACUAGUAGGAGCAACAUGACAGGCAACUUAAUCAUGCCCUGAGAAUACAGAAUACAGAUGCACAAUUAAAGCAGGGAUCUGUGUGUCUUUCUGCCCUUGUUCUUUAAAUGACACACAUACCUGCCUCCACAGCAAAUGCUGAUUUUCUCCUCCAUUUUGCUCUCCUCCACUCUGAUGUUUCAGAUGGGCCGCUUGCAUUAUUUGUGUGUUUAUUUAAAGCACUGUUUGUAGGGCAAGUAUUAUUUUUGUAAAAUGAAUUCUAAGCAGAAAAACUUCUCUGGAGGGAAUAAACUCAUGGUGCCACUCAUGGUUAGCCAGUCUACACUCUUUACCACAGUGCUGCCUUUCUCAAGCUGCCAGGAAUUGUUCCCACUGAGUUUACAGAAAGAUGACACAAGUUGGUGACACAAGUUGGUGAGUAGCCUUCUCAGAGCAGUGUGGCUUCUGGUUUUGGGGUGUGUGAGAAAGUGAAAAAAAGAUUUGUUUCCAUCUUAAGCUACCUUGGGUUCCACUCUACCACCACCUAAACUGUUUAUUUCUUUUUUUAAAAUUUAAAGGAAUGGGGGGGGGCAACAAGAGGCAACAGCAAAAGGAGAGGGAAAGAAAGGCAAGGGUAAGAGAAGAUGAAAGGACUGGGAGACUGUGCCCUUGCCAAAAUAAAGUCAGAGGCCCAUUAUCCAGAUUCUGCAUUUUUAUUUUUUGUAGCUAAUUUUCAGCCUAAACAUUGCCUGCAAUGUAGAACAAAGAGAUGUUCUGGCACGAAGUAAUCUCAUCGGAUAUCUCUCUUUGCUCUUUUUUAAAAAAAUUGCAAUUUCUGGAAGGGAAAUCCUUCCUACGAGGAAGCCUAGAUUUCUGCCAGUCAAGGGGAAAACUAUUCCCUUUGGAACACUAUGAGUAGGCUUGGAAGACAGCAUUUGGCUGAAGCAAAAUGUGAUUUUGGACAGGAGCCUCUAUCUCUACCAUUUAGCAGUUACACUUUCCAGAGCAUGUGUACAAAUGCUCUUUGCAUUUUCUUGGUGUCUCGUAGCAGAGUAAAUUGACAUCUGUAAUAACCGUGUCAUGCGUGUGUCUUAAGACAGUGUAGCUAUCAUUUUAUCUUUUUAUGACUCGGGAGCAUUGGCCAGUUCUGUAAUUGUAUUUCAAGACCUGUUUUAAAAUAUUGUGUUUCCUUAACCUGAGACUACUUACCCAAAAUAUCUGCAACUGAUGAAUAGAUUACUGUGUCUACCUCCUAAGGAAUACUCCUAGAAGAGCUGAAGGCUUGUUACCAAAAGCAGAGCAUUGCCAAGGCUGUUGAGAAUGAUAUGGAAAGACAAGUGAAUCAUGCUGUGCAUUGGACUGAAGGCCAAGAUUGCAACCUAUACUGAAAUUCAGUAACUUGAACUACUCCUCCAUGUGGCAGCCAAUAUUCUCUGUGGGAUCCUGGCAGCACAGCGCCAUCCCAAUAGAUACACGGCAAACCCUUUUCUCCUCCAGCUUUCGGGGAGGGAUCCUUCUGGAUUCUAAAUGCCAUGGCAUCCAUCCAUCACACAUGGUGGAGAUAAAUAAUAGCACUUUUCUUUUUCUGCUGAGAUAUUUAUUUUUAUAAGGAUUAUCCAAAAAGGCAUCCAUUGUUUUCAGUUACACUGCUCUAAAACAUUCCUUCAAGUUAAAGUGUGGAGACGCUGCACAGCAGGUGGGAGAGAAAGCAGUAGAGCAAUUUGGGAUCAGGUGAAGUAAGGAUAACCAUAAACAAAUUCCCUGCUAGCAAUAGUAGCACCAGAUUGAAGUGGGUUAAUAUACUGAGACUGUGAUCCUAUACCUGCUUAUCCAGAAGUAAACCCCAUUGAACCUCUAUACAGGAUUAUGCUCUAAAUGUAGGUAUAUUUUUAAUGCAAAUGUUGAAUUUCAGCAAAGAGGCAAAAAAGUUUAGGUUGGGUAUCCUGAUUCAAGUCUAUCUUCAUGUGGAAUCAGUCUUGUGCAUGAAAAAGAGUGUUAUGUAGAGAGAGAGAAAACCAUUCAUCACUUGAGGCUGUGCUUCUGAUGCCCCUUGCAAGAUCAUGGUCAUCUGCACACCAUCAAACAUGACCAGAGCUCUUGGCUCUGACCAUACCACCACUCCUGUUUCAGGAUUGUGUGUAGAGACCCCUUCCCACUUUCCUCCUCAAGGGAUGAUGAUGAGUCCUCUCAGAGCUAGCAAUAAUUCUGCUGAGAACUUCAUAAGGACAGAACUAUGUUGCAUAGACUAAUCCAUGAACUGAGCCACCAUGUCCCAUGGAACUCACUAAAGGUUGUGUCUAGAACAGAUAGAAAUAGGUGUUAGAAAACUGGUUCCCAACUUUGUACUGGUGGAAUAAAAGGUACCACCUCUAGAAUCCAAGAUGGAUUAGCCCAAGCACCAUAUUCUCAACACUCAUUGUGGGACCUUUAGUCCCAGAAUUCUUCCAGCCCAUAUUAGGAAACUGCUGGUUCAGAAUCAUUUUUACAAUUAUUCAUACAAUAAUGGGACUGUUAUUGUUCAGAAAGCAGUGAAAGCCAUUCAUGGUGGUGUUUUGGGGUUUUUUAAAAUGAACUUCCAGGUUUGCUGAACAGAGGGUGGAACUUCUCAGUUCUUCUGGAUGUGGGGUUUCCCCAAUGCAUUGAUUGUAUUAAUGUAACUAGAAAGAGAUUGUAAAAGAGCAUUUCCUAUUUCAUUCAUCAUGCAAUCCCACGCCAUACUAAAAGCACUUCAGAGCUCAACCACUAAAUACUAAUGUUUCCCAAACAUUAGUCAAAUAUUUUUAUUAGUCCAAUCUUAGCAAAGACUGUGCAAUUGGGGGGAGGAAUCAACACACCCAGAAUAUUUUCUGCUCCAAAUAUGCCGAUCAAAAAUAGUUUUUUGGCCAAUUUGUUUCCUUCCCCCCCGCCCUAAGUUAUUAUGAACCCAGUCACUGGGCUGCCUUUCAUUAUAGCUUAUGUGGAAAUUUAUAAUGAAUAUUUCCUUUUUCCUUUUCUUGAUUCAUCUUAAUUGAUAAUUGGACCAUAAUUCCUGGACAUCUUCCAUGAGAGCAACCAUUGAUGACUUUUCAGUCUCCCUCCCUCCCACUCUCUCCCUCUCCCUCUCUCUCUGUUCACUUUGCACAUUGCACCAUAUGUAACGUAAAACAAACUAAGUUGGAAGCCUGGCUUCUUAUUCUGAAUCCUGGCAUGCAGGAGAGUCACUGAGAGAUAUCAUAUGGUCUCCUGGCAAAAGUACAAAGUGGCUCUAGCUGUUUGAUCUACUGUCUUAAAUUUAAAUGCAAAAUCUGAUAAUUGGGUCAGGCAGGAGAAGAAACUGACUAAUAAAGCUCUUUUCAUUUCCUUUUCCUAUAUGUCCUUGUUUCAUCUUUUCUUUUCUUUUUUUCCUGCUUGGAUGAUCUUGAUGAGCAACAGUAAGUUCAUAGUGAAAAGUUCAAAGGUGGACCCUGCCUUCUAAGUAUUGUCUACUUCUAGAAUUCCUGCUGAGAUUAUUUUUUAAAAUAAGAACCCUUUCCAUGACUCCACUGCUAUGAUGCUAAUGUUGCACUGUUAGUCUCUGUGUUUGUGAGCCGAGUGGAUUGAGCCAAACAGGCAUCCUUAGACCUGGAGAAACUUGGAUUUCGAUACCACUUGAGCCAUGAACUUUCUGACUGGUCUCAGACAGAUUGCCCUCAAGGCGCGCGCACACACACACACAAAUCUGAACACAGGUCACUCAAAUUCUACACCAAAAAUAGCUAUCUUCUGUGACCUGUGCCAAUUAUGGAAAUGUGCAUUCAUUUGCAUAAUUCAUUCAGUCUUACGUUCAACACGAGAGGGACUGGGAACCAUGUAUGGCACAGAAAUGCAGCCCUCUCUGGGAACUAGUGUUGUAGAGGUUAUAGUGUUGGAGUAGGGUUGGUGAGAUCUGGAUCCAAAUAUUCGCUCAACUGAGAAGUUCACUGGUUGAUUUGGGACCAGCCACCACCUCUCAGUCUUACAUAGCUAACAGGAGUGUUUUGAAAGGGAAUGGAGUAUGCUGUCUUUUGAGCUCCUUAGAGGGGAGGCAGAAUAUAAAUGUAAUAAAUAAAUUAUAUAGCUUCACAAGGCAUUACCAGUGAGAUUUCUUUGUUCCUAUAAGGACUGUAAAAUUUCUAUUUAAAAAGAAAACAUGAAUGAUUAGUUUCUAAAGAUGACGAAUCAAAACUCCUAUGCUUGUGCAGUUCUGUUGCAGAACAGCACAGUGAAAAUCGCCCCAGUCACUCUCUUCUAGCUUCAGUUCCUUGUUUAUAAAAUCCACAGUGGCCUGCCUUGGAUGUGUAGACGAAUGAAAUUAGUAAUGUAAUUUGAAUUACAUACAUAAAGUGCAAUAGAAAUGUUUGAUGAUGAUUGUGAGGUAUGUAGUCAGGUGUCACAAAAUUAAAUCCACUAAUGUACUAAGGGCAUUUUGGAAGUGAAUGCUUAUUGUAGGCUUGUCUUGGAUACCAGGAAUAUUUUCAACUUACAAUCUCUACUGUAGACCAUUAAACAAAGACAGGGGAUUGUACUUCAAAGGGCACAUGAGAUAAAUGAAAACUGAACUUCCUUUUCGGCAAGAAUCAGAUCCUGAAGAAACAGACCCUGCGUCUCCAUUCUAGUGGGCGAGUCACUUUUAGUAACAGCCCAGUUGUUUUUCUGUGCUAGCAAAAACAACUGCUAGACUGCGGGAACAUUUUCAUGGUCAUGACUUAAAUGAGAUAAUUCACAAAUGGCCCACGUUAUUGGCUCCUUUUCUUCCCCAUGCGUGCUUCCAAAUUUUAGCCAAAAUAUAAUACUCUAAUCUUCAAAGGAAGAAUGAACUAGCUUUGAAAAAGGAAGUGAGUCUCCAAAGUGAUUGACGAUUCCAUGCACUCCAUCUCUCAUUUAUUUAGUCUAAAAAGGCUCUUUAAAAUCUUGGCUGUCGUACUGGUGUAUAUCAUGCUGGGUGGCCGCUAGAAGAGACACAUCAGCUCUGCUGUGAUUGCAUUAGAAAAGCUUCUAUAUAGCACAGAAAAGGUCACCAAAGCAGCUGAUCGUUGGGAAGAAGUAACUAAAUGAUAGGGAUUUAAUUGAUCAUUAGGGUGCCUGCUAUGGCAUGCUCAACACUCAGAAAGCUCAGCAGGAUUCCUGAACUGUAAGAGCAAUCUAUUUUAUUGCAUUAUAAUUACCUUACUAAUGGCUGAUGUUCAACUAAUUGCACCCUUGCAUUUUUCUGCUGUGCAUUUCACCCCCAGGAGCCUUAGGGGCCAGAAGAAUCAACGAUUAAAGUAUAUUUUCAUCAGCAUAAACAUAAACAAUGUGAAACAUGACCAGAGAGGCUGCCCUCUAAACAAUUCUUUAUCACCCCCACUGGUUACAGUUUCAAGCUUGCCUAGAAACCAUGCAAGGUAAAUCCCCGAAGUUGUCUAUACUCACUUGUGGUGAGGGAUGUGCCCUCUGUACAUGCCCAGGUGCACUCUUCUCUUGAAUGUUAUUUCAUUUAAGAUGGCUGAGCUUUUAGUCAUCCCAAGGAAGAGUUGCGGGUGAUUUCUGAACUCUGCUGCCAGGAUAUUCAUAGAAACAUUUCUCAUUGUACUUUCUGCAUGCAUCCCUAAGAACUAAAGAAAGCGCAUAAACCAGACAGGACAAGUGCAACCUCAGAGGGAGAAAGACACAACGCAAGCCUGAAAUGAGCAGAUGUGACCUGGAAAUUGAAAGGCUUCCUGACUUCUAUUUGCAGGAGUAGCGAUGGGUUAGUUUAAAAAACAGGCGCAACAAACCUGGUACCUGUCAGAAUGUUAGACUUGGUGGAAUUUACUUCUGAGUAAAUAUCCUUAGAGGGACGCGGGUGGAGCUGUGGUCUAAACCACAGAGCCUAGGGCUUGCCAAUCAGAAGGUUCGAAUCCCUGCGACGGCGUAAGCUCCCGUUGUUCAGUCCCUGCUCCUGCAAACCUAGCAGUCUGAAAGCAUGUCAAAGUGCAAGUAGAUAAAUAGGCACCGCUCUGGCAGGAAGCUAAAUGGCGUUUCCGUGCACUGCUCUGGUUCGCCAGAAGCGGUUUAGUCAUGCUAGCCACAUGACCCAGAAAGCUGUCUGUGGACAAAAUGCUGCCUCCCUCGGCCAGUAAAGCGAGAUGAGCGCCGCAACCCCAGAGUCGUCCGUGACUGGACUUAACAGUCAGGAGUUCCUUUACCUUUUAAAUAUCCUUAGAGUUGUGCUGCAAUUGCUACAAAUACACAACUAUGGAUUUAAUUCCAGAAUCCCUCAAAUGAGAUAGUUGCACAGUGUGUGGCUGUCUUUUGUGGUAUUUUGGAAUGGGUAUGAAGCGACGUAAACCGGUUCCAAAUGCAAAAUAAAUACAAAAUAAAAAUGAGUAAAUUGAGUUAGAGAUGGAAGGAAACCUUUCUCAGGCUGUGCAAGGCUAUAUUUUUCUUGGAAAAUACAUUGCUGAGGAAGACUCCUGUCUGAAACCCAGCUGUCAGCUAGUGUAGACAAUGAGCUCAAUGGACCAUUGGUCUGCCUCUGGUUUGUGGUGGUCAUGGCAAAUCUCUGAACAUAUGUUAUUAGACCGUUUCACCAACCACUUCACUCUCACCUUCUACAUUCUGCGGCCAUCUUCUGCAGCCAUCUUUAGUUUGGACUGUGUGCAGUGAAUUUCUCUCGUAACUAAAAUUCAUCCUGCAUCCAACACAGUGUUUGUAACAAGCCUGAAAGUAAUGCAAAAAGUGUGUCGUGGGUCUGGUUGCAAUGUGCAUGAUAUUUUCGAUUGCUACUCAAUGGAGCAAAGUGACUGCCAUGCCGUGUUAUAGGGGCCUUAGUUGCCUAGUGGGAAAGUGAAACCAAAGCUCAGCCUCACGAAUACCAUGGCACCAUAAACUGGAAAGUGACUCUUCCCAAGUGUCAGACCACCAUUGAUUUUCUGCAUCAGCAUUUUUGUUUCAUGUUCUGUGAAAUGAAAGGUUUUGGGUCAUUUGUUAAAAGAGAGAUGUUAAGACCUGAACUUCUCUUAAUGACCAGAGGCAAACAAUAAACGUUGGCAAUGGCUGGAUCAUGGACGAUUUGGUUAUGUGAAAGCUAGCGAUGACAUGCCUUUCAUUACAGUUUUUAAUCUCACAGCACAAUUGUUUAGUUUGUUUCUUUUAAAGUUAUACUUUGCUGACUUUUCAAAAUACCCCCCAACUUCCCACUUAAAUGUGUUUCUGCGUUGUGUGUCUUUUUGCUAAUGGAGAGGAAAGGCAAAGAAGAAAAAUAUGUUCCUUUAGCACCAAAUACAUGUGAACAAAAAUGAUCUUGACAGUUUGCAAAAACGAAAUACUCUUGACUUCUGAGAUAUUAAAGAAAAACAACCAAAUGUUCCCAGUAGUUCCUUAAUGCAAUUACUUGAUUAGAGAAAGGCAUUUCAUUUCCUAACCGCAACAGGAAUAAGCAAUAUAGCUGUCAAUAAUUUUGCAGCUGGGCUUUGGAUCUGGUGGUCAGCAUCUGACCACAUCUUUACAUGGUCAUUAAUGCAUUUCCAUCAGCACUUAGAAAUGCACCUAGCAAAGCCGUUGGAACCUUGAGGGAUUCUGCUGGUGUGCCAGUGACCUUUUCCCUCAUCAAUUUCCAGAAUGUUUUUUCCACUCCUGAAUAUGCAGCACAUCAUAAUGUUUUACAUCAGGCCUCCACUGAAGUCAUAUCGUGUUAUGUUCAUGGCUGCCUUCAUUUAAAAAUCUAGCAAUGGACAACGUCCAAUGGACGAAAAUGGAUGUGCCCGCUCAGUGGCUUCAGUCUGCAGAACCGGCAAUGUUACAGGUGCCACUUUGGGGGAGAUCCGUCCUCUAGUCUGGCAGCACCUACACUUUAGAACUCCCUGUCUAUUGACACUAGGAGAGCCAGUGUGGUGUAGUGGUUAAGAGCGGUAGACUCGUAAUCUGGGGAACCGGAUUCACGUCUCCGCUCCUCCACAUGCAGCUGCUGGGUGACCUUGGGCCAGUCACACUUCUCUGAAGUCUCUCAGCCCCACUCACCUCACAGAGUGUUUGUUGUGGGGAAGGAAGGGAAAGGAGAAUGUUAGCCACUUUGAGACUCCUUCGGGUGGUGAUAAAGCGGGAUAUCAAAUCCAAACUCUUCUUCCUCUUCUACUAGGCAGACAUCUUUGCUGUACUCUUUUCACUUAAAAGCAUUUUUUUGUUUAGGCAGGCCUAAUGAGACAUGUACAUAUUGGUGUGCUUC